This 1288-nucleotide long non-coding RNA is filed under the name Salmo salar (Atlantic salmon). Its description in RNAcentral is "lncRNA (ENSSSAG00000103554.1)". The record is from RNAcentral. Lineage: Eukaryota; Metazoa; Chordata; Actinopteri; Salmoniformes; Salmonidae.
CAGAGAGCAAAUUAGAAUCCAAGGAAGUUGACAUGUCAUCACUUCAUUUUUUUGCGCCUGCGCAUAAAUCUGAGAAACGUGAGUUUGUCAUCAUUUUUUAUCUAGACAUAGGAUAGGUUGUGUGAAAAUAUUACUGAUAUUUAACGUUAAAAAUGGACCAAAAGAUUAAUGCUAAACAACAUUUGACAUGUUUGAACGAACAUAAAUAGAUUAUUUACUAGUUUUUUUUAGCUUUUCGGCGUGAUUUUACCAGCCCCCCUCCACGUUUUGUGGGAGCAUAAUGAACGCUAAGUACUUGGUGUUAUUUGGACAUAAAUUAUGAACUUUGUCAAAAGAAACCACAUUUGUUCCGGACAUGGAAUGCCUUCCGGACCUGGGAUCCUGCCUUCUGAUGGAGAUAAUCAAAGAGCAUUUGCUGUAAAGCUUGGAAAUAGGAAUCUUUGGUAGAAGGAAUCCUUCCAGGCUGUCAAUCUCCUGAGCUUCAGACAUUAGUGGGACCAGCGGAGGGACUAGCAGAGCACACUGGGGACUCUCUCUCUCUCUGUCUUAAUACACCUCCACCUCCACUACCCCCCAUCUCCCGGAGGACUCCCAGCCAGCACAAUGAGUCUUAUUCUCUGUUUAGACCAAGGAGAUCAGACAGUACCCGUCAAAAGUUUGGACACACCUACUCAUUCCCAGAUUCUUCAAAGUAGCCACCCUUUGCCUUGAUGACAGCGUUGCACACUUUUGGCAUUCCCUCAACCAGCUUCACCUGGAAUGCUUUUCCAGCUGUCUUGAAGAAGUUCCCACACAUGCUGAGCACUUGUGGCUGCUUUUCCUUCACUCUGUGGUCCAACUCAUCUAAUCUGGUUUGAGGUCGGGUGAUUGUGGUCAUCUGAUGCAGCACUCUAUCACUCUCAGCCUGGAGGUGUGUUUGGUCAUUGUCCUGUUGAAAAAUAAAUCAUAUGUGUUAUUUCAAAGUUAUGAUGUCUUCACUAUUAUUCUACAAUGUAGAAAAUAGUACAAAUAAAGAAAAACCCUUGAAUGAGUAGGUGUUUCCAAACUUUUGACUGGUACAAUAUAUGAUCUUCUAAUCAGCGAUGACUAAAUCACAAUAAUCUCAUCUAAAAAUGAAAAGUUUGAUACACCUGAAGUUCAUCAUCAUCAGAUAAGAAAACUUCACACACAGGAGAACAAAUCUCCAUCAGAUGCAAAACAAGGUGCAUUGUGGGUUAGCAGCUGCGGUGCUGGAAGUGUGAGUAGGGAGAUUAAUAAUAACAUUUCAAGAAUACAAUUAAUAACCUUC